Varanus komodoensis (Komodo dragon) is the source of this 72-nucleotide non-coding RNA. The record is from the annotation of a RefSeq genome assembly. Lineage: Eukaryota; Metazoa; Chordata; Lepidosauria; Squamata; Varanidae.
UCCCUGGUGGUCCAGUGGUCAGGAUCUGGCGCUCUCACCGCCAAGGCCCGGGUUCGAUUCUCGGCCAGGGAA